UACGGAGGGUGCAAGCGUUGUCCGGAUUUAUUGGGUUUAAAGGGUGCGUAGGCGGCGUAGUAAGUCCGUGGUGAAAGCCCACAGCUCAACUGUGGAACUGCCAUGGAUACUGCUAGGCUUGAGUACAGACGAGGUAGGCGGAAUGGAUAGUGUAGCGGUGAAAUGCAUAGAUACUAUCCAGAACACCGAUUGCGUAGGCAGCUUACUAGACUGUAACUGACGCUGAGGCACGAAAGCGUGGGGAGCGAACAGG
RNAcentral lists this ribosomal RNA (253 nucleotides) under uncultured bacterium. Its description in RNAcentral is "partial 16S ribosomal RNA". It matches the Rfam family "Bacterial small subunit ribosomal RNA", at positions 524 to 776 of the family's 1533-position model. The record is from RNAcentral.